GAUGACGUCACUGCAAGGCGCCGGGGGACACGUUGGCUGCGUUUUCGGCGGGCUUCCCGGGUACAAAAAUGGCUAUGGCUAGCGAUUUCUACCUGCGCUACUACGUAGGGCACAAGGGCAAGUUUGGGCACGAGUUUCUGGAGUUCGAAUUUCGGCCGGACGGAAAGCUUAGAUAUGCCAACAACAGCAAUUACAAAAAUGAUGUCAUGAUCAGAAAAGAGGCUUAUGUGCACAAGAGUGUAAUGGAAGAACUGAAGAGGAUUAUUGAUGACAGUGAAAUUACAAAAGAAGAUGAUGCUUUGUGGCCUCCCCCUGAUAGGGUUGGCCGACAGGUUUGUAUUUAGUGAUUCUUUAAGUGUAUAAAUAUUAAAAAUUGAUAAUACUAUUUUGUUUCCAGUUAUUUAUUUGGAAUGAGUCUAAGUUGAUUCUCUGGCUAUUUAAUAGGCAUCUGGUAAAUUCUCUUUAAUUUUAUCUCUUAGUUCCGUUUUUCUGUGCUACCUCCUAGUAGUGAAGGAGUCAGUGCAUAGCUCUAAAUUUAGACAUCUUUCUCUGUAG
Molecule: small RNA, 555 nt
Filed under: Pan troglodytes (chimpanzee)
Lineage: Eukaryota; Metazoa; Chordata; Mammalia; Primates; Hominidae
Description: retained intron
Source: RNAcentral